Molecule: long non-coding RNA, 739 nt
Organism: Bos taurus (domestic cattle)
Lineage: Eukaryota; Metazoa; Chordata; Mammalia; Artiodactyla; Bovidae
Source: Ensembl
CUCGCCUUCCCAAGGAGUGCUAAGUUAGUGGCACAGUUGGUGCUUGUGAUUGGUGAGCUAGAUGCUAGCUGGACUGCUCAUGGACUGCUAAGUUCCAGCUGAACCCAUAAAGACGUGGGUGAUGGCAACGCUAAUUCCACUGGGUUAAAUUCCAGCAAAAGGACAGGUGCUCACAGCUGCCCAGAAUGGCAUUGAGAAAUAUGAGUUUGUCCUUGUCCUUUUGACCACUGGUUGGAUUCCUGAGAGCUUUAAUUAUCCCUCUGUGAACAGAGCUGGUCGUUGCCGUGGUGUUUAUCAGCUCCAGAGCUGAGGAAAUUGGGCUUUAUCUCUCUCAGAUUAGAUCGCUACAAGCCUCAUUGGCUCCGUCCUUUGACCUCAGUAACAAAAUGACUUUUGAUCACCAAUGCUGGGCCCCGCUCCGGUAGUAACGAAUCUGCCUGCCAGUGCAGGAGCUGCAAGAGAGGGCCCUCCUCCCAGUAAGAUGAGUGAGUGUAUCUCCCAAGGGUGAUAGCAGCGGAUCAAGCCACAGCCUUUACACCACUGACCAUCAGAGGGAUGUGUGGACCCGUCAACGUGGUCAAGCAUUGAGGACCUAAUGAACUGAAUGAAGAAGCAAUAGGUUUCUGAAAACAGACAGAAUCUUGACAGAAUUCUUGGGCUUCUCACCGUUUAAUCUAGAAACAGGGUUCUCCAAGCAGAUAUCAAGCUAAAAAGAAGUGCCCAGAAUGGGAGAAGGGGA